UUCGGCGGCCAUAGCGUGAGGGAAACGCCCGGUUACAUUCCGAACCCGGAAGCUAAGCCUCACAGCGCCGAUGGUACUGCAGGGGGGACCCUGUGGGAGAGUAGGACACCGCCGGACUUCUUUCGU
This 126-nucleotide ribosomal RNA is filed under the name Microbacterium sp. AG238. The record is from RNAcentral. Lineage: Bacteria; Bacillati; Actinomycetota; Actinomycetes; Micrococcales; Microbacteriaceae.